Long non-coding RNA from Pecten maximus, 1075 nucleotides. RefSeq lists it as uncharacterized. NCBI's taxonomy places the organism in Eukaryota, Metazoa, Mollusca, Bivalvia, Pectinida, Pectinidae. The transcript has 3 exons. The record is from RefSeq and is a predicted model, not a curated record.
CAACAUCACGUGCUUUUGUUUACGUAAUUUUUCUUUUGCUAGUAACUGUCACGUCAAUUCGGGUUAAUUACGUGUAUAUACUAGCAGUGCUGAUAAGGGAGAACGAUUCAUAUCGUAGAGGAAGUAGAUGUGACCUGUAUUUGCUGUUCCAUUACAACUGGAAAAAGACAAGAUUUAGGUUCAGCAGUACUCAUGUGUGAAGCCAUUCACCUACUGUACCCACACAUUAGGUCGUAGAAGUUCGAAGAGAUAAAGCCCACAGUUGGCAGAGACAGAAGUCUACUUAGGACCAUGGCAUCCUCACGACGUGGAGACAGGAGCCACAUCAAAUAUGACGUCCUCCGCCAAGGUUUGUCAUCGACGUUGUACUUGACUAACGCUGCUUUGACUAACAUCUGAGAAUAUAUACAGCUUUCUGUUGUGCAUUUUGUUCUCUUAACAAGAUUUCUAUGACAUCCUGCAUGUAAUAUUGGCCAUGUUGCUUAGUAACUUAGAAAUAAGGCCAUGUUGCUUAGUAACUAGAAAUAAGGCCAUGUUGCUUUAAGUAACUUAGAAAUAAGGCCACAUUGCUUAGAAACUAGAAAUAAGGCUAUGUUGCUUUGUAACUAGAAAUAAGGCCAUGUUGCUUUGAAACUAGAAAUAAGGCCAUGUUACUUAGUAACUAGAAAUAAGGCCAUGUUGCUUUGUAACUAGAAAUAAGGCCAUGUUGCUUAGAAACUAGAAAUAAGGCCAUGUUACUUAGUAACUAGAAAUAAGGCCAUGUUGCUUAGAAACUAGAAAUAAGGCCAUGUUGCUUAGAAACUAGAAAUAAGGCCACAUUGCUUUGUAAUUUAGAAAUAAGGCCAUGUUGCUUUGUAACUAGAAAUAAGGCCAUGUUGCUUUGUAACUAGAAAUAAGGCCAUGUUGCUUUGUAACUAGAAAUAAGGCCAUGUUGAUUUGUAACUAGAAAGAAGGCCAUUGCUUAGAAACUAGAUAUAAGGCCAUUGCUUAGUAACUAGAAAUAAGGCCAUGUUGAUUUGUAACUAGAAAUAAGGCAAUUGCUUAGUAACUAGAAAUAAAGUCUGUUUCAUCUCUU